Molecule: ribosomal RNA, 484 nt
Filed under: uncultured bacterium
Lineage: Bacteria
Description: bacterial SSU rRNA
Rfam family: Bacterial small subunit ribosomal RNA
Source: RNAcentral
AACGAACGCUGGCGGCAGGCCUAACACAUGCAAGUCGAGGGGGAAGCCACUUUCGGGGUGGUGGAGACCGGCGCACGGGUGAGUAACGCGUGGGCACCUGCCCUGGGGUGGGGGAUAACCGCUGGAAACGGCGGCUAAUACCGCAUACGCCCUGUUUUCGUGGAGGAGACGGGGGAAAGAUUCAUUGCCCUGGGAUGGGCCCGCGUUGGAUUAGCUUGUUGGUGGGGUAAAGGCCUACCAAGGCGACGAUCCAUAGCUGGUCUGAGAGGAUGAUCAGCCACACUGGGACUGAGACACGGCCCAGACUCCUACGGGAGGCAGCAGUGGGGAAUAUUGGACAAUGGGGGCAACCCUGAUCCAGCAAUGCCGCGUGUGUGAAGAAGGCCUGCGGGUUGUAAAGCACUUUCAAUCGUGAAGAAAAGCUUACGGUUAAUACCCGUAAGUAUUGACGUUAACGAUACAAGAAGCACCGGCUAACUCCGUG